CUUUAAAAAUCUGGAUCAAGCUGAAAAUUGAAACGACACACUGUUUCAUUUCUCCGUAAUAAGAAAUGAAAGGCGGUGUGUUCGAGUCUCUCAAAUUUUCGCAACACGAUGAUGUUUUACGAAACAUCUUCGG
This is a non-coding RNA of Escherichia coli ISC11, 133 nucleotides long. The record is from Rfam. NCBI's taxonomy places the organism in Bacteria, Pseudomonadati, Pseudomonadota, Gammaproteobacteria, Enterobacterales, Enterobacteriaceae.